CUUCAGGGCAGGGUGCAAUUCCCGACCGGCGGUAAACCCCGCGAGCCAAAUUUGGCUGAACUGGUGAAAUUCCAGUGGCGACAGUACAGUCUGGAUGAAAGAAUGU
RNAcentral lists this non-coding RNA (106 nucleotides) under Holdemania massiliensis. RNAcentral describes it as "FMN riboswitch (RFN element)". It matches the Rfam family "FMN riboswitch aptamer (RFN element)", at positions 8 to 131 of the family's 138-position model. From Rfam's summary of the family: The RFN element is a highly conserved domain that is found frequently in the 5'-untranslated regions of prokaryotic mRNAs that encode for flavin mononucleotide (FMN) biosynthesis and transport proteins. Lineage: Bacteria; Bacillati; Bacillota; Erysipelotrichia; Erysipelotrichales; Erysipelotrichaceae. The record is from RNAcentral.